GGCUCGGUAGCUUAGUUGGUAAAGCGCUCGUCUAGCAUACAAGAGUUCUGGGUUCAAAUCCCAGCCGAGCAC
Molecule: non-coding RNA, 72 nt
Organism: Aedes aegypti (yellow fever mosquito)
Lineage: Eukaryota; Metazoa; Arthropoda; Insecta; Diptera; Culicidae
Source: Rfam